Molecule: ribosomal RNA, 253 nt
Filed under: uncultured bacterium
Lineage: Bacteria
Description: partial 16S ribosomal RNA
Rfam family: Bacterial small subunit ribosomal RNA
Source: RNAcentral
UACGGAGGGGGCUAGCGUUGUUCGGAAUUACUGGGCGAAAAGCGCGCGUAGGCGGACCUGCAAGUCGGGGGUGAAAGCCCGAGGCUCAACCUCGGAACUGCCUUCGAUACUGCGGGUCUCGAGUCCGGGAGAGGUGAGUGGAAUUCCUAGUGUAGAGGUGAAAUUCGUAGAUAUUAGGAAGAACACCAAUGGCGAAGGCGGCUCACUGGCCCGGUACUGACGCUGAGGCGCGAAAGCGUGGGGAGCAAACAGG